Molecule: long non-coding RNA, 372 nt
Filed under: Danio rerio (zebrafish)
Lineage: Eukaryota; Metazoa; Chordata; Actinopteri; Cypriniformes; Danionidae
Description: lncRNA (ENSDARG00000117705.1)
Source: RNAcentral
UUGCAGGUGCUGAAGCACACAGGCCUCUGCAUUGGCCCUCAGUGUGAGCUCACAGCAGGACUUUUGGACUGAAAGCAGAAAGACGACCAUCUGAGAUGUUCCUGUCUCUUCAAAACGUCAGAAGAUGAAACGACACUCUCCAGAACACUUACCGUGGAACCAAUCAAUCAUCCUGACUCUAAACCAGCAACAGGUGAUGAAGACAAGCCAAAACAAUCUGCACUUAAGACAAUCCAUGAGCGAACAAAGAGAACACUGCACUCUUCCAGAAGAGAGAUCUCUCUUUCAGAAAGGACAGGCUCUAACUACUGAACACCCCACAGGUCAGGCCUCCAGAGAGCCAGAGACACUGUUGUGUGUGCAUUAAUCAAU